UUCCUUGAUCACAUCAUAUGAUUUACAUUUUGAGAAGGACUCAAAUGACUUGGUGGUGAGUGGGGACAUCGGACUUCAACCAUUGGUCAUAACAGCGAUACGUCGUAUCAACUCUAGUAUUUAUCGUGCAUACGUUUGUCUUUACACCUGGUUGAUAUUUUUUUUAUCGUCGUGAAGUUUACGUGACGUGUAACGUAUUACAAACAUUUAAGUGUAAUACGUUGCUAUUAACGUAGUGUACCAUUUGAUUAUCAGUAAUCGGUGUCAUCGCAGGCCAAUAUUUUGAUUAUUCAAAGUAUGUAAAUUAACUCGUGACCGCACCAUGAUCCUGGAGUAAAUGUUCGAUUUAUGUCAGAACCGAAAUAACAAUAAUGGCUGGCCAAAAGUUCCAGUAUGACGAAAGCGGAGCGACAUUUUUCUAUUUUCUAUUGUCGUUUUUAGCUCUUCUGCUAAUCCCCGGCACGUAUUACUGGUGGCCGAGAAAACAGAAAGAAGAUCCAAAAGCGUUGGCGUCUGAAUGUUAUUGUCCAGGAUGUCGAAAAAAAAAACUCAUCCUGCAGUCCACUAAACCGUGGGAACUGAUGAAGAGGACGCUCACUAAAGUCAUAAUUAUUGCUGGCUGGGUGUUGUUAGCUUUUCUCGCCUACAAAGUUUCUCAGUUUGAUUAUGAGAGUGCAAGUUUUGAUCCAUAUGACAUUCUCAAUGUUCCCAUUGGAACUAGUGAAAAAGUAAUUAAAAAAGCUUACAGAAGGUUAUCAUUAAUUUACCAUCCAGAUAAGGAAACUGGUGAUGAAAAAAAAUUCAUGAAGCUUACAAAAGCUUAUCAAGCCUUAACGGAUGAUGAGUCCAGGAAAAAUUGGGAAAAAUAUGGAAAUCCAGAUGGACCUGGUGCAAUGAGUUUUGGAAUAGCAUUACCAUCGUGGAUUGUAGAAAAAGAAAAUUCCGUUUGGGUCCUAGGUCUUUAUGCUUUAGUUUUUAUGAUUGCACUGCCUACUACAGUUGGUAUGUGGUGGUAUAAGUCUAUCAGAUACUCUGGAGAUAAGGUUUUAUUAGAGACAUCUCGGAUGUACUAUUAUUUUUUGCAUAAAUCAAAUUCAAUACCUUUGAAACGAGUUAUAAUGAUUUUAAGUGCUUCAUUAGAAUUUGAAAAAAAAUACAACAGUGAAAUUGUUGAAAGAUCUUCGGAUGAACAUGAAAUGCCUCAACUUAUUAAACAACUUUAUAAUUUUGGAGAAAAAGCACAAAAAGAACCACCACUAUCCUAUAAUUAUUCAAUAAAAGCUAGAGCUUUGAUACAUGCACAUCUGUCUCGCCUGGUACUUAAGGCAGAUACAUUAGAUUUAGAUCGUAUGUAUAUUGUGAAGAAAUGUCCAUAUCUAAUACAAGAAAUGGUUGGUGUCGUUUCUCAAUUAAUUUUACUUGCAUAUGCUCAGAGAGUGCCUCGUUUACUUAAUAUUGAAACCAUAGAAAACUGUAUGAAACUUUGUCCCAUGAUAGUCCAAGCAUUAUGGGAGUAUAAAAGUCCAUUUAUGCAAUUACCAUACAUUACAGAAGAUCACAUAAAACAUUUUGAUAAUAAAAAGAAACGUGUUAGAAGUAUUCAGCAUCUUGCUCAAUUAAAAAAUGAAGAGAGGCGCGCAACAUUAAAAUUUUUAUCAGAUAGUCAGUAUGAAGAUUUGGUAAAAGUAUUGGGUAGAAUGCCCUAUAUAGACUUUAAAGUUCGUUGUGAAGUGAUUGAUGAUGAAGCAACUACAGUUUAUACAGCUGGAGCUAUAGUAACUGUGACUGUGCAGUUGAAAAGACGUGAUAUGAAAGUAUUGUUUGGUGACGAUUCGUUUGCAGACAAGCAUCAUAUUGAGUUAGAAAAAAAUGCUGCUAAGGAAACAGAUAAAUCAGAGAAACCUUUAUCAAAUGGAAAUGUAAUAGAAAAUAAUGAAGAUUUUGAAAAUAAAGAAACUAAAGAUGACGAUAAAGAAAAAAAAGUAACUAAAGGUAUUUGGCAGCAAAAACGCCAAUCGGGAAAAGGUAAAAAAAGUGGAAAUGUCAAAAAACCAAAAGCUACUUUGUCGGCAUCAGCUAAGAAAAAAAUUAAAAAGAAAGAAAAAUUGGAAAAAGCAAAACUAGGAGAUCCAGAAAUUAAAGAAACUGAAGAUGAUAAACCUGAAGAGAAAGAGCAAUUAAAAGAUAGUAAUGCGUCAUCAAAUGAUGAUUCUGAUUCAGAUAAUGAAAGUUCUAGUGAUGCUUCUGGAGAUGAAUCAGAGAAAUCAGAUGCUGAAGAAACAGUAGAUGAUAAAAAAAAGGUUUCGUCAAAUAAUGAUGAUGACGAUGAUGAUGAUUGGGACAAAUUCCAAUCUGGAGCUAACAAAAAAGACAGAGUACUUGAGGGCAGAACAAAACAAUCACAUUUGGUUCACUCCCCAUAUUUUCCUGAGGAAAAACAUGAAUAUUGGUGGGUUUAUUUGAGUGAUCGAAAAAGCCGUACAUUGUUGACUGUUCCAUAUCAUGUCACUGAACUUGUAGAUGAAGAAGAAAUUCAAUUAAAAUUUACAGCUCCUAGGUGGCCUGGAGUAUAUGUGUUUGCUGUUUGUCUUAGGUCAGAUUCAUACUUUGGUUUCGAUCAAAUGCAUGACAUCAAAUUGGAUGUAAAAGAAGCACCAGAACCUUUAACAGAACAUCCACAGUGGGAUAUUUCUGAUGAAGAAGAUGACACUAAAGAAGAAGAUAAACAAAGUGAUAUUUCAGAGUUUACUACAGAUGAAGAUGUCGAAGAUUAAAUAAUAUUAAUACAAACACAAAAAAAUUGGGUGACCUGACAAACAAAGAAGUUCAAACAAUAGAGUUAAAAACACCUCUGUGAUGUUGCAUAAUGUUACGACAUUUGCACUCCAAUAUGCAAUGUUUGUGGGAGAGGAUGAGCUGCAGCAACCAGUUUUCUUCGAUUUUUUUUGGCUAUUCUUAUUUGGAAUAAAGUACAGCUAAAAUUUGUCAAAAAUAACAAUUAUUACAUUUACGUAAAAGAAUGCAGUAAAACACAACAGCAAUAAUUAUAUAAGUUUUUCCUUGUUUAUACUUUUCUUUUUUAUAGUUAGACAAUUAAACAAGGUCGUUGGCUUCUCGAUAACGAUAUUGUUUUGAUUAAUAUUGUAAGAUCUUAUUAUAUAAAUACUGCUUGACAAUUCCUUGUAAUCUAUAUCACCAUUAAAAGCACUUAAUAUUUGUAUGACUUCCUUUCUUAA
RNAcentral lists this unclassified non-coding RNA (3236 nucleotides) under Diuraphis noxia (Russian wheat aphid). RNAcentral's name for it is "translocation protein SEC63 homolog, transcript variant X2". The record is from RNAcentral. Lineage: Eukaryota; Metazoa; Arthropoda; Insecta; Hemiptera; Aphididae.